UUAAGUUCAGCGGGUAUCCCUACCUGAUCCGAGGUCAACCUUGUGAGUAGGUCUUCCGGCAGACGGGGCCCCGACUUUCAAAGCGAAAGAUUCUGCUACGCUUAAAGCCGGUGCCACGCCGCCGAGCGUUUCGAGGUGCGUCCCUAAAGGGGGACGUCGCCCAACACCAAGCCAGGCUUGAGUGGUGAAAUGACGCUCGA
RNAcentral lists this unclassified non-coding RNA (200 nucleotides) under Cenococcum sp. RNAcentral's name for it is "partial internal transcribed spacer 2". The record is from RNAcentral. Lineage: Eukaryota; Fungi; Ascomycota; Dothideomycetes; Gloniales; Gloniaceae.